RNAcentral lists this long non-coding RNA (214 nucleotides) under Carica papaya (papaya). RNAcentral's name for it is "long non-coding RNA (CPAP_LNC000843)". The record is from RNAcentral. Lineage: Eukaryota; Viridiplantae; Streptophyta; Magnoliopsida; Brassicales; Caricaceae.
UCCCGACUCGUUUUUCCCCACUGAUUCCUCCUAUGGCCAAAUCGAAGCCGAAAUCCCGGCCAAACGGCCGGAAUACGCGGCCGAAGCCCAGCGGCACCGCCGCGCCCCCUCUCGGUUUUUGCCUCCGACGAGGCCCUUCCCGGCCUCCGUUCGAUGCAAUUUUUAUAUCACCGUGAUCACCAUUCUUUUCUCUACAGGUUGACCGAAGCCAAAU